CGCGCGGGUUGAAACUUCACCCAAAUGCAGAAGAUGCUUCAGAUUUUAUUUCUUCUUCAUUGAUAGAGCAGCACAAGAUGCUUCGGGAUGGAAUACUGUGGUGCUUGGGCGGAGGUGCUCUUUUCCUUCUUGGCUUUCACAUUGACAGGCAUGUUGAUCGUCUCCUUUGAAAAGAUUCUAGCUUCUUCUUUCAAAAGAUUCUAGCUUUAUGUUUAACAGAGCUCACGAACAAAUAAGUACGCAUUUUGAAGUUCCGAGCCGAAGCACCAUUUUUAUUUUGUCUGGUACAAUUCUUUUAAGUUCUUACAGGAAUUAAAUUUCUUGGUGGGCAACUUUUCUUUUUGCGUUUUGGGUUAUUACAGUGAAGCACGUAAACUUGAAUCGGUCCGUCGGAUUAGGGAGUUGAAGGAUUUGGGUACGCUGCUGCGCUGUUUCUUUUUUCCAUAUGACUCUUAAUUGUUCUUCAAGUUCUUGACAUUUCUAAAUAGGAAUUUUAUGUUGCUUCAUUUUCAGUCGGGUUGCUGAGAUACGAAUGCCGAGUUGUAGUUGCCGUUAGAGGAAGGGUGUGCUCAGCAACUCCCAUUAACUGUGAAAAGGGUGGUUUACAAGGGGUAAUUGUGGAGCAGAGGGUACAAAUCUUAACUCUAAAUAACCUUUACAAAUUUGGAAACUUUCUUUAAUGGGUUCUGUUUUCGGUCAUCAUUGAUAAUUUACACUCUUGUUGAUGUCUGUUUUUAGGCAGAGCAGUAUUUCCUGGAACGCAUCAAGAACAUGGAUAAGUAGGAGGAUAAGGACAGGGAUGAUUUACACGUUUGUGCCUUUCUUGAAAAGUUUUUUUCGGUUUUUCUAGUUUUGGCGCCUUUUCUGAAAGACUCUUGGAGAAU
RNAcentral lists this long non-coding RNA (884 nucleotides) under Prunus dulcis (almond). RNAcentral's name for it is "sRNA ncRNA". Lineage: Eukaryota; Viridiplantae; Streptophyta; Magnoliopsida; Rosales; Rosaceae. The record is from RNAcentral.